ACGGUCGUAAAUUUAGCGACUGCUCUACCCCCAUUAUGACUAAUUAGCAGUCGGUAAAUACCCGACUAUUAUCAAAAUAAAUUUUAAAUUUUAAUAACCGCUUUUUUAAUAUCUCCAACCAAUAAGCGGUCGCUAAAAUAAAAAAAAAAAAAUUUAAAAAGUAACUAAUCAUAUGACUUUUACUGACCAGCUUCUCUUUCUCCUUCAAGGUUUGCGACCAUUCAAAAAAAAAAAAAAUCAAAAUUGCUUGGCUCUCAACCUCACGUCGCAGCCACCGUACCCUAAACCUCGCCGCCACCCAGCCCACGACGCAGCCACCCUAAACGUCGCCGCCACCCAACCGACCCACCCCCACCGGCGCAAGGCGCCCCCCAGCCAGCUGCGCCCCCACCCAGUUGCGCCCCCACCCAGCUGCGCGCGCGAACUCAACAAAAAGGUACCCGCGCACCACCUCCGCCCACCGGCGCACAACUCCACCCACCGGCGGCUCACAACUCCGCCCACCGGCGCACAAACCCAUUUUCUAUGUGAACCCUGUGAACUCUUCGAUCUUUGAAGGAAAACUAUGAAAAAAAUGUUGCUGAAUGUGUUGAAAAAGGCAUUGCUAAAGAUCCCAACCAAAUCUACUUUGAGACAGUAGGUGGGAGAAAGAAGGGAAAGGUCCCCGGGCUGGGGAGUGGAGACUCUCUAUACUUUGCACCAUCUAGAAGGGGUGGUAGUUCUUCUAGCUCAUACACCCCAUCUAUUUAUUCUCAAAUGUCAUCUCGAUUGGAAGAGACUCAACAACAGUUGACCCAAAAGUCCAUUGAGCUUGAAACAACAAAAAAUCAGAUGUUAAAGGCUAUGGAGGACGAUCUACUUUUGAGGCAAAGGGAGAGAGAAGAAAGAGAAGCAGAGCGACUAGAGCACCAAAGGGAGAUGGAAAGGGAGAGAAAAGAGAGAGAAAGGGAGAGACAAGAGAGAGAAAGGGAGAGACAAGAAAGAGAAGAACAUGUCGGCCAGAUGAAAAAGGCAAUGGAGUCUUACGAGCGGAUGUUCAGUCAAUGUACUGGUUUUCCUUUCUCGCAGUCGCAGGACCCUCGAGAUCCAACCGACGGCGGGACACCUUUGUGUUAGGUAGUUAGUAUUCUUGUAUUAGUUUGAACUAGUUAUAACUUUUCGUAUUAACAUGUUUGAACAACAUUAUGUGUAUUAUGAAUCUUUGUUGUAUGACUUUGAACAGGCUUAAUAUUAUAACAUCGAGC
Molecule: long non-coding RNA, 1244 nt
Organism: Spinacia oleracea (spinach)
Lineage: Eukaryota; Viridiplantae; Streptophyta; Magnoliopsida; Caryophyllales; Amaranthaceae
Exons: 3
Source: RefSeq, a predicted model, not a curated record